UCCUAAGUACUAGAAGUACAGGAUUUGCCACCACACCCAGCAAAAAUAUGUCUGUUAGAUCAUUCUUCUUACUUUAUAUUUUUCCAAAAUAUUAAUCCACAAGAGAUAGGAAAUUUGAAGAACUGGUCCUUCAUCCCACAUGAUUCCACGACAAACAUCUAAUGACAAGGAGAUCAUCACCAGGGAUCGAACUUGGGACCUUGCACUUUUAAGGCAGGAAGCAGAAUCCCCAGCCCAAUACAGCAUAAUGUUAACAGCAGUUAGAAGAUAUUUGGAUGAUAUUCCAAGAGGAAAUCUCACUGAACAAAAGCGCCUCAGCACAAUACCACGCCCCUAAGAGGGGAGUACAGGUCGACCUGGGACUCUGGGUGAGGGUCACGUACAGAGGAGCAAGACCAGAGGCAAAGUUUCCUUCUCAUCGGAUCCAAGGUACACGCAGCACGACUUGUCACUGCUCAUGUGGACUCCGAUCACCGGGCUGGGCUGUCCAAGAUUCUCCACUGUACACUCUUCCCUUGCUCACCUACAGUACUCUUGGGAAGGAGUCCACUACGUGCAGACAAGAUAAGGGGCCCAGCACUGGGUUUCAUUUUCUGAAGGUGGAGCAUCUACAAAAAUUGCUUGGUGAAUUGUUAAAAAAAAAAAGUUUGGAAUUAUUCUGCAGACUUCUAUUCAUUUACAUAGAUCAGGGACACAGGGCUUUCAUAGUUGGAGUUAUAACCCAAUUUUACUUUGUCUUGUUGCUUUGACAGUUCUAUCACUGUAGAAUUUUUUUUUUUUAAAUCACCUCCUUACUUCCUGGCAUGGUAAGAUAUUCCAGGCAUAUUUUGUUUCUUUCCCACUCCAUAUCCACAGUCAGUCAUUUUUCGAAGGAGCUCCAGUUCCUUUGAUUGAAUGGUGUUAGAAGUCGAGAUACAGGGUUACUGCUGGAGGAAAUCAACUUUUAUUAGGGAACUGGGUGGUUGCUAGAAUACCUACUCUGAAUGUGCAAUUCCCAGCACUGAAAAAAAAAAU
Molecule: long non-coding RNA, 1014 nt
Organism: Fukomys damarensis (Damara mole-rat)
Lineage: Eukaryota; Metazoa; Chordata; Mammalia; Rodentia; Bathyergidae
Exons: 3
Source: RefSeq, a predicted model, not a curated record